This 445-nucleotide ribosomal RNA is filed under the name uncultured bacterium. RNAcentral's name for it is "partial 16S ribosomal RNA". It matches the Rfam family "Bacterial small subunit ribosomal RNA", at positions 354 to 796 of the family's 1533-position model. The record is from RNAcentral.
GUGAGGAAUAUUGCGCAAUGGAGGCAACUCUGACGCAGCCAUGCCGCGUGCAGGAAGAAGGCGCUACGCGUUGUAAACUGCUUUUAACCGGGAAGAAACCCCAGGACGUGUCCUGGGUUGACGAUACCGGAGGAAUAAGCACCGGCUAACUUCGUGCCAGCAGCCGCGGUAAUACGAAGGGUGCAAGCGUUAUCCGGAUUCAUUGGGUUUAAAGGGUGCGUAGGCGGAGCGUUAAGUCAGUGGUGAAAUCCUGCAGCUUAACUGUAGACUUGCCAUUGAUACUGGCGCUCUUGAGUGCGCUUGAAGUGGGCGGAAUGUGCCGUGUAGCGGUGAAAUGCUUAGAUAUGGCACAGAACACCAAUUGCGAAGGCAGCUCACUAAGGCGAUACUGACGCUGAGGCACGAAAGCGUGGGGAUCGAACAGGAUUAGAAACCCCGGUAGUCC